AGUGAACGCUGGCGGCAGGCCUAAUACAUGCAAGUCGAACGGCAGCACAGUGGAUCUUGCUCCAUGGGUGGCGAGUGGCGGACGUGUGAGGAAUACAUGGGAAUCUGCCCAGUCGUGGGGGAUAACGUAGGUAAACUUACGCUAAUACCGCAUGCGCCCUUCGUGUGAAAGCCGGGGACUUUCUGGCCUGGAGGAGUUGCUUGAGCCCAUGUUCGAUUUGCGAGUUGGCGGGGUAAAGGCCCACCAAGGCGGCGAUCGAUAGCUGGGCUGAGAGGAUGAUCAGCGACACUGGGACUGAGACACGGCCCAGGCUCCUACGGGAGGCAGCAGUAGGGAAUAUUGGACACUGGGCGCAAGCCUGAUCCAGCCAUGCCGCGUGAGUGAAGAAGGCCCUCGGGUUGUAAAGCUCUUUUGUCCGGGAAGAAAAGCAUCGGGCUAAUACCUCGGUGUUCUGACGGUACCGGAAGAAUAAGCACCGGCUAACUUCGUG
RNAcentral lists this ribosomal RNA (490 nucleotides) under uncultured bacterium. Its description in RNAcentral is "partial 16S ribosomal RNA". It matches the Rfam family "Bacterial small subunit ribosomal RNA", at positions 29 to 507 of the family's 1533-position model. The record is from RNAcentral.